This 895-nucleotide ribosomal RNA is filed under the name Pochonia chlamydosporia var. catenulata. RNAcentral's name for it is "LSU rRNA". It matches the Rfam family "Eukaryotic large subunit ribosomal RNA", at positions 38 to 960 of the family's 3401-position model. The record is from RNAcentral. Lineage: Eukaryota; Fungi; Ascomycota; Sordariomycetes; Hypocreales; Clavicipitaceae.
GCAUAUCAAUAAGCGGAGGAAAAGAAACCAACAGGGAUUGCCCCCAGUAACGGCGAAGUGAAGCGGCAACAGCUCAAAUUUGAAAUCUGGCCCCUAGGGCCCGAGUUGUAAUUUGCAGAGGAUGCUUUUGGCAAGGUGCCUUCCGAGUUCCCUGGAACGGGACGCCAUAGAGGGUGAGAGCCCCGUCUGGUUGGAUGCCGAGCCUCUGUAAAGCUCCUUCGACGAGUCGAGUAGUUUGGGAAUGCUGCUCUAAAUGGGAGGUAUAUGUCUUCUAAAGCUAAAUACCGGCCAGAGACCGAUAGCGCACAAGUAGAGUGAUCGAAAGAUGAAAAGCACUUUGAAAAGAGGGUUAAAUAGUACGUGAAAUUGUUGAAAGGGAAGCACUUAUGACCAGACUUGGACCCGGUGAAUCAUCCAGCGUUCUCGCUGGUGCACUUUGCCGGGCUCAGGCCAGCAUCAGUUUGCCCCGGGGGAUAAAGGCUUUGGGAAUGUGGCUCCCUCGGGAGUGUUAUAGCCCAUUGCACAAUACCCUGGGGCGGACUGAGGUUCGCGCAUCUGCAAGGAUGCUGGCGUAAUGGUCAUCAGUGACCCGUCUUGAAACACGGACCAAGGAGUCGUCUUCGUAUGCGAGUGUUCGGGUGUAAAACCCCUACGCGUAAUGAAAGUGAACGCAGGUGAGAGCUUCGGCGCAUCAUCGACCGAUCCUGAUGUUCUCGGAUGGAUUUGAGUAAGAGCAUACGGGGCCGGACCCGAAAGAAGGUGAACUAUGCCUGUAUAGGGUGAAGCCAGAGGAAACUCUGGUGGAGGCUCGCAGCGGUUCUGACGUGCAAAUCGAUCGUCAAAUAUGGGCAUGGGGGGCGAAAGACUAAUCGAACCUUCUAGUAGCUGGUUCCGC